Raphanus sativus (radish) is the source of this 1102-nucleotide long non-coding RNA. RefSeq lists it as uncharacterized. The transcript is spliced from 2 exons. The record is from RefSeq and is a predicted model, not a curated record. NCBI's taxonomy places the organism in Eukaryota, Viridiplantae, Streptophyta, Magnoliopsida, Brassicales, Brassicaceae.
GGCGACAUCUCUCUAACCCUAAUACAGCUUAGGAAAAAACACGAAGAUUGACUAUCCUCUUCGUGCGGCCAGAGGCAAUGACGUUUGCGCUCCAUCUCAUUACUGAAACUGUUGCAUCACUCACCGUAUCCUUACUUGCCUCGAGUCUGUUGUUGGGUUUUGCUUUUACGAUUGAAGUGCUGAAUAUCAUGGUGAUGUUCUUCUUACUGAUUUGAGGAUGAAUAGCGAAGAAAUCUUAUCUCCUCCUAGCCAGUUCUUCAGCUGAGAAUUUGGAAGACCAGAAACGUAGAGAGAAGCUGUUAGAGUAUGGUCGUGGACAUGCCCUCGCUUUCAUUACACGACGCCUCCGUGAUCCGGAAUCAUUUAUCCGAUGAGUCUGCGUCGCAGCUGUGUGGGCGAUCUCUUCCCGGACGACGAGGCUUUCUUUUGUUUCUGUAUUCACGAAGCUGUUGACGGACACACUUUUGACAUAGCAUGAGGUUAAUACGCAGAACAGAGAAGCGUUGUGUCAUGUGGAGGCGACUGAUGUUACGGAGGAUCCAGUUCGGUUAAGACAGGUGUUUCUUCCUAAGCUGGAGAAGUUGGUGAAGUGUAAAGCUUUUAAGGCGAGUUCGGUGGGAAUGGUUAUGAACGGAAGUGUGAUUGGUGAUGGAGGAGCUACGGGAGCUCUGAUGGAUUAUUUAGUUAGCUUCUUGAAGAUUUGAGCGGCGAGGAAAGCAGCCGCCGAGGCCUUAGAGGGGUUUGCCACGGUGGAAAUAAAUGAUUUAGGAGAGUACAAAGCCAAGUCUUUGAAGAUCUUCAAAAGCAAGAAAUGUUUCGAUCUGUGUAUCUUUUUCAAAUUUGUGCUUAGCCUUGAGGUGUUAAAGGUAUGAUUGUAUUUACUUAUUCUUCCUGCUAUUGAAUAGUACUAAAUUAUAAGAUUUUUUGUUUUGUUGUUUUAGUUUUUCUAUGAAUGUAAUAUUGUAAAUGUCUUCACUUGGUAUCAAGGUCAGCGAGAGAGUGAGAGUAUCAUUGUACUAGAUUUAGUUGUUGGAACCAUCCACACCAUUCUUGGUACAUUGUAAAGUGGUUGGAGUUGUUUAUUGGUUUGGUUUUUAAUUUC